AGGCUGCCCUGUUUCUCCUCAAAAUUAUGCCGUCUACACCCGACAUAAUUUUUUCUUGGUCGAAACAGACACUCCUUCAAUCACUCACUCUAUUCUAUGAGAAGUUAAAACAGUUCAAUCGCUGACUUUCGCGAUAAAUCACGCUUCUCGCGUCUUGCCUUCCUAAGGUUUGCCCAACUUAGGGUUCCUAGGUCCCAACGACCUAAUACUAAGCUCUGAUACCAACUUAAUCUGCCACGCCCCAGAUUACUCGUUUCCCUGGGCACGCCGACAAAUCUGCCGUAUACAAAAUUUUUUUUUUAUAUACGAAGAGAUAGCUGUAUCUGUACCUGUAAUCAUACAAAAGUACAACGAGUAGUAUAAAGCUGCUAACAGAACUGUAACAUAUAAAAAUAAGUAUCGGGUUCACAAUACAUACAUAAUCUCCAGAUACAAAAACACUCGCUCCAGCGAGGAUCUAACAUCAGUAUGUACAUGACCCAAAAAUCCAAAACUACCUGUAGCUGGUACUCCUCUAAACAGCAACAAAACUGGAAGGGAUCUAGCUCACGACUUCCUUUUCACGAUCAGAAUCAACAACAGCAGCAGCCGAAGAAUGAGGCUCUGCAAAAAGGGGUCAAUAACUGAGGGUGAGAACUACUGCAAAAAGAAGUAGUCCUCAGUGGAUACCGCUACCGACCUCAACGGCUCA
Molecule: long non-coding RNA, 691 nt
Filed under: Ananas comosus (pineapple)
Lineage: Eukaryota; Viridiplantae; Streptophyta; Magnoliopsida; Poales; Bromeliaceae
Description: long non-coding RNA (ACOM_LNC037196)
Source: RNAcentral